This 401-nucleotide long non-coding RNA is filed under the name Cyanistes caeruleus (blue tit). RNAcentral's name for it is "lncRNA (ENSCCEG00000014971.1)". The record is from RNAcentral. Lineage: Eukaryota; Metazoa; Chordata; Aves; Passeriformes; Paridae.
GAAAAACUUGCAUUGCUUUUUAUAGAAAGACUGAACUUUUCUUUCCUUUUCUUUUUAUCAUGAAAACCAUGCAAGAAGAGAGGACUGCUUCUUGUAGCAACUACUUUAGAAGCCAUUAACUUCACUGCAAUUUCACUUUUGUAGUUUAAAUUAUAUGAAAAAAGGUUAACAUCAACUGAUUUUACUAAUUGUUUUCCAUUAGGAGGGCAACUCAGCCAGAAUAGGAGCCUGAUCCUCUUAGCUACUAAUCCUGUUGCUACAACCACUAGCUCAGCUGAUGCUUUUCCUGAGAUGAGUGGCUCUUAAUUGAACACAGGAAUUAAGAUGUGAGCAUAAUGGUAAUUUUUGUUUUAUUCUCUAUUUCUUUUCUUUCCUAAUAAUUCCUAACAUUCUUGUUGCUU